Molecule: ribosomal RNA, 1302 nt
Filed under: Triticum aestivum (bread wheat)
Lineage: Eukaryota; Viridiplantae; Streptophyta; Magnoliopsida; Poales; Poaceae
Description: partial small subunit ribosomal RNA
Source: RNAcentral
AUGCAAGAAAAACGAGCCAUUGCUUAUUUUAGUGAAAAACUCUCCGGUGCUCAACUUAACUAUCCCGUAUAUGACAAAGAAUUGUAUGCUUUAGUGCGUGUCCUACAUGUUUGGGAACAUUAUCUUAGACCUCAUGAAUUUGUCAUCCAUACCGAUCAUGAAACGCUUAAGUACUUAAAAGGUCAAACUAAAUUGAACAAGCGUCAUGCAAAAUGGAGUGAAUUUAUUGAAUCUUUCCCAUAUGUGAUUAAGUACAUUAAGGGUAAGGAAAAUGUAGUUGCCGAUGCACUUUCUCGCAUAUGCACGCUUGUCACCCAACUUGAGUUGAAUGUUAUUUGCUUUGAGCACAUAAAAGAUUUGUAUGCUAAUGAUCCAUCUUUUGCAUCUCAGUAUGCUAAAUGUUUGACGCAUACAUCUAGGGAACAAUAUUACCUCAAGGAUGGUUAUCUUAUGAGAGCUAACAAACUAUGCAUUCCCGAGUCUUCUCUUCGUUUGCUCCUUUUGCAAGAGGCUCAUGGAGGCGGACUCAUGGGACAUUUUGGACGUGACAAGACCUUCGCCACGCUCUCCAAGAACUACUUUUGUCCCAAGAUGUUUCGAGACGUCUCACGCUUCACCACCCGAUGCUCUACAUGCCGCAAAGCUAAGUCAAAAGCUCAAUCUCAUGGUCUUUACAUGCCUCUUCCUAUUCCUUAUCAACCUUGGGAAGACAUUAGCAUGGAUUUUGUACUUGGUUUGCCUAGAACUCAAAAUGGAAAGGAUUCCGUGUUUGUUGUUGUGGACCGAUUUUCUAAGAUGGCACAUUUCAUUCCUUGCAACAAGGUAGACGAUGCUUCACAUAUUGCAAAUCUCUUUUGCAGGGAAAUCUUGCGCCUCCAUGGAGUACCAAAGACAAUCAUCUCCGACCGCGACGUCAAGUUCUUGAGUUACUUUUGGAAGACUCUAUGCGCCAAGCUCGGAAUCAAGCUCUUGUUCUCAUCCGCAUACCAUCCUCAAACCGACGGCCAAACGGAGGUGACGAACCGAACACUAUCCACUCUACUUCGUGUGUUGAUCAAAAAGAACAUCAAGGAGUGGGAGGCGUGUCUACCCAUCACCGAGUACACUUACAACCGUGCAAGACAUUCGACCACCGGCAAGUCCCCCUUCAAGGUCGUCUACGGCUUCAACCCGUUGUCACCAUUGGACAUACUACCUCUUCCUCUACAAGAGCGCACCAACAUGGAUGCGAGUGCACGAGCAAGCUACAUCAAGAAGAUGCAUGAGGAUACAAGGCACACCAUCGAGCGCCAAGUACAAUGA